GCGGUGGUAGCUCAGUUGGUUAGAGUACCGGUCUGUCACGCCGGUGGUCGCGGGUUCGAGCCCCGUCCGCCGCGCCA
RNAcentral lists this transfer RNA (77 nucleotides) under Neisseria gonorrhoeae. RNAcentral describes it as "tRNA-Asp". It matches the Rfam family "tRNA". From Rfam's summary of the family: Transfer RNA (tRNA) molecules are approximately 80 nucleotides in length. Their secondary structure includes four short double-helical elements and three loops (D, anti-codon, and T loops). Lineage: Bacteria; Pseudomonadati; Pseudomonadota; Betaproteobacteria; Neisseriales; Neisseriaceae. The record is from RNAcentral.